This 240-nucleotide long non-coding RNA is filed under the name Lathyrus oleraceus (garden pea). RNAcentral describes it as "Pisum sativum (pea) long non-coding RNA (PSAT_LNC037229)". Lineage: Eukaryota; Viridiplantae; Streptophyta; Magnoliopsida; Fabales; Fabaceae. The record is from RNAcentral.
AUUAAUAAUAAGAAGGGGAAAAUCCAAUUUUUUUUAUGGAAGAACGCUUCAUGUGUGUUCCCUCACGCGUUCAUCCAUCAUCACCAAACUGUCAUCACCCGUCCUGCAAAUAAAAGACACCAAUAAUCAGGCCAUACCAACACAUACCUAUAGACAUACAUCACAUGAAAAAGACUCAAGAAAAAGAAGAGCAAUACAACUAUACAUUGACAUACAUAGAAAACGUUUGGGGACCACAAA